Molecule: long non-coding RNA, 4993 nt
Organism: Cyclopterus lumpus (lumpfish)
Lineage: Eukaryota; Metazoa; Chordata; Actinopteri; Perciformes; Cyclopteridae
Exons: 3
Source: RefSeq, a predicted model, not a curated record
GAAGGAGCUACAAGCCGAUUGGCAGAAGCCGAGCGAAGUGAAGGAGCUGGGGUGUAUGGUUUUACGUGAAAGUGAUCCUCUCAAUCCUGGUGGAGGGAUUCACAUGAUCCUGAGACCUGUGGGGAAAUAGCUUCAUGGAACGGUCUCCCAAGGCAAGACAAAACCCUAAAAAUAGCUUAAAAGAGUUGUCUUCAGUCAGUCUUCUGACCACGUCUGAAGGGAAACAGCUUUUAGCUGUUCUGAACAGCCACGCUCGGAGAUGUGGGCAAAGGCUGGCGAUGACAAAGAGGGGCACCAUGCAAUAAUAGUAUUAAUAUGGGAGUAACAGCGCACACUAUCCGACAAAUCUUUCCAAGGGCAUUGAUAGUGUUGCAUUCGUUUGUACAUACACAAGUGAUGAAAGUAAUUGUGUAAAGAAUGAAUUUCUCACAAAAUUGUUGCAAGCAAAGAAAUCCACAAUAACUGAAUAUAACUAGAAAUAUUAUAUGUACAGACAGCAGUAAGUUUGAAUUGCACGGUGUAAUAAGUAUAUAACACGUAUUUAUAUUGCACCGAUUUUGUGGUUAUUUGUUUUUGGUUAUUUGUCUAUAUAUUUGAUCCAAUGAUCUAUUAAACAAACAACUGUCUCUUGUGUGCAACGUCUUGUUGACCAUCGACCCCAACAUCCUCUGUACAAAACAAUGUCACCUGACUUCAUAAUUAGCCUCUAGAGGGCUUUGUCACUUGGACGUAAACAAAAGUCCUUUGAAACUGAAACAAUAGUUUUUCUUGGGAGGACAGACUCUGCCAUCACCAGGUGGACUCACAAGAAUAGGUGCUAGGGUACAGUUAGCGGACAGGUGGCAUCGCUCUGCUGCAGCGGGAGCAAAAACAAACAUGUUGAAAUAACAACAGGCAGCGUUAUGUAAAGUCUGGCACAACAGACUUCUGCAAAUGAGUGUGUUUGAAUGUGUCUGGCUGUGUGUGAAAACCUAAAAAUGUUUUAACUGCUGCACUCCACAGCUCGUAAAGAUACAGUUCAGCAUAAAAGCUUGGAGUCAUAUGCAGUGUUUUAUAACUGUGGGAGUGACAAAGAAACACUAGAAAACGCAAAAUAAAGUAUUUGUAAUAUGCAGAAUGUAAUUCUAGCUAAUGAUUCGUGGCCAUCGCUGUCACCUCUCCCCAUCCGCCUGACUUUAGAAGUUAAAUUUUCUCCGAAAAACUUUUCAACUCACCUACAAUUAGGUUACAUUGUCAAAUAUCUUUAUUUUUGUAUUAUUAUCCCUAUUCUAGAAAUGUAAAUGAAUCAUUAUGCUUUUUUCAUUAUGCUGUAGGGGAUACUCUGCUAAUCAUUUAAAUGCCUGAUUUGUGUUGUAACAUAACUGUGUGUGCUAUUAUUAUAACACUGGCAGCUUCAGAUUAUGCCAAGUCUUGCAAUACACACUUAUCUGUGCAAGUGUAUCCUGCAGUAUGUGUGUGCAUGUGUGUGAGUGGGUGCAAGUGCAAAAAAAAGUAUACUUUUACUGGCAAAGCUCACAGUUCUCAAACUACAUCAAAUCCAACAGCUUGAAGCCUUGUGGGGGAAAAAAAACUAAAUAUACAAGCAAAAUAUUGUAUGAAGUGUUAGAAACUCACAAUGUUCAAUUUCAGGAUGUGUACCUUCUUUUUGUCCAUGCAGUAACACACACAUUAGCUCAUGUUGAACCUUAAAAGGUGCACCGAAUGCAACUGUUCAGAGUUGUGUUUUAAAUAUCACAUUAUAAUAAGACCAUGUUUUAUUUAUAAAUGAGACCAUGUUUUUGCUUGGGGAUGCAUAACGUUUCAGUUAAAUCCUAUUAGGCAAAACAUCAGUGUUUAUGCUUGCCAUGCUUUUCCUAGUUGUACAUUUAUCAAGCAAAAUACUGUCUAUGAUUUGAACAGAGAUUAUUUUCAUGAUUUACAAUAUCUAGCAAAUAUUUUGUCAGACCACAUAUCUCAAACGUAUUUAAAUGUAUACUGGCAUUCUUUUUUCAGAAAUGCAUGUGUAUUAUUGAAGCAAUACAUUAUUGCUUGGAUACACACACAUCCAAUAGCUCUUCUUGGAGGUUAAACAUUCCAGCUCAAGGCCAUAUAUAGUCGAGACUGACCUUGCGCCACCGACUGACGAUAUCAUUGGCCAUCAUGACAAAAAUAAUGUGUGCUGCAUUUUUCCUUUGUUUUCACGGCUCUGUUUUCUCAUUGCUGCAAGGAAGAUGCACAUGGAGUCAGGGAGACGAGGAUAACGCUUGAGACUCACUGCCUGCUUAUUCUCCUCUUAUUAAUUUUGAGCUUCCGUAAGACCUACCUCCAUACACACAUACACACACACACACACACACACAUACACGUAAACCCCCCCACAAAUUGUGUUACAUUUCCACUGUGCAGGUGAAUGUUGGCUUUCUAUGUGUGUGGGAAUGAGAGAAGCGAAAGGUAAAACUUUCUAAAUGUUAAAAUCCUGUCAAAAAUGGGUCAGGAGUGUUACGGUUCCCUCAGCCAGGUUGUGACAGCUUCUGACAUUUGAGCUGUUGACUGAGCAGUACAUUUAUCUCCAGACACAAAGACACUGCACUAAGAAAUCAUCCACGAGAAAACUAUUGAGAAUGAUUUGUGUAUCACCAGGUGGGGAUCCAUGGCUCAUGGCAAAUGAAACUGUGUUGUGAUCAGUCCCAGACUAAUUCCACCCAUUUCAGGAUGUACCUUAUCUCUUAAUACUGCCGGUACAAACUCUGUAAGUGUAACCUAAAAACAAAUAUCCAUUACUGAGAUCGUUUUAAGAUGGAAAAAACAGUAAAUCAAGCUAUUACCAGAAUUUUCCAUUGAGAACGUGUGUGAGUGCUUUUGGGGUGGGGGUGGGGGGCAGAUUUGGGGCCGAGCCAGGGUUGGCAGACAUCCUGGGGAAGGCCAGUUGCUGAUAAGGCCUCCAGGCAGGGGAAAGGCUGUUUAUACAUUGAAACAGACGCGCACUGAACUGAACACAGUACACACCUCAUUGCACAGCUCAAGAAGAAAUGACCUGAACUUUGGUGAGGGAUGUGUGUUCAGACAUGUGUGUGUGUGUGUGUGUGUGUGUGUGUGUGCAUGAAAAACAAAGACGUGAGGAGAAAGUGCGCCUAAGAGAGAGAUGAAAUCUUAAAGAUAGAAGAUUGCUGAUUGACAUCCAUACAGUCUUCUCUUGUAUGUUUGCAUAUACACGGUAGUCAAUUAGAUAGUCGUCGCUAUGUGCAGCCUGACACGGAGGUGAAAUUAAAGAGCAGUCGGCCUGCGAGGAAAGCAGCUCAGAUGGGAAAGAGAGAAGCACAAAAGUGGACACGUCCUCUGUAAGUCUCUCAGGCUUCUUAUGCAUUCGGACUUGCCCAGAUGCUUUCCUUUGUAUUUCAAAAAGUCACAUGUCCCUGCUUUUGUGAUUUCAGACCCAGCAGAGUCACUAUAACCCAAAAGUUCUACGAAACAAGGUUAUGUGUUAUUCGAGCUGGCAAAGAUCUGUGUUUUGAAAGAGGAGCAAAGGCAAAAAACAUUUUUACUAUGAUUAAUAAAUAGUGUUCAGAAGAACAGCUUCGGUGCAAUACAGUAGCAACUCCAACUUGAAAUAAUUAGCUUUUUGUACAAGAUUUGCCACUUUAUAGCACUGCAGGUCAAGUGGGCAUGAUAGGUUGUAUGGAUUUUUAUGGCUUUUACUGGAGUCAAUAAACUGUAAAAAAAAAAAACAAGACAAUCAAAUGGAUUCUUUGUUGGCUCAGUGCACUAGAUGGAGAUGAAAAAUGUGCAUCAGUUGUCAGAAAUGUAAUCUUGGCAAAUGUUGAGGUUACACACACAUUGAAACAUUGCGCCUGCAGCUUGAACACACUGUGAUCAGUUUUCAUUGAUUUUAGAGGAAGCUCUUCCCAGUGGCUGAUGGCAGGACUGAAACUUAGUUUCUUAUCGUCUUCCCAAGUUUGGAAGGACAAACUGAAGAAUUGGAGAAAAAAAGAAAAAAAAUGAAGACCCAAAGGAAAAAGCAUUCAAGGAAAGAUAGAGGAAAAGAAACACAGAUAGAGAUAGAGAGAGAGAGUUGUAUCGUUAAGUGUGUGUGAAUCAUGGCUCAGCAAUAACCGGAUUGUGGCUUUGGACUGCUCUUUCCCACAGACAGCCUCUUCCUAUAGGGCUGCACUCUGCUGACCUGUGGGGGCGAGCGACUAUAGCACUGAGUGAGCAAAGUGUAGAGAUAGUGUUUAUGUGCCUGUUAUUUUAUCUGUGUUCUAUUGUCUUCGUAGAAGCAUGCUACAUCUCAUAUUUUGUCUCUUUGUUGUCAUGUCUUGUUGUUAUUCCAGACCAUGAAUCAACCCUUAAGCCACAAUGACCAGAGUACACGGCCAAUGUGUCUCACCCUCCAUCUAUAAUGGGACAGUUGAACACUUUGUAUGUAAACGAAUGCAAUGACAUAACAGGCAAAGAUGGGAAGCAGUGGCUCUCUGGUGGAGCUACAAACAGCCCUGCUGUACACUACAUUACCAUGUGAUGAAUGUGUAACUACAGCUGACUGAAUGUUGACUGAUGAACUAUCUGAAGCAAGUCAUUCCUCAUACAUUUAAUAUACCGGUAUAUAUGCUUUGCAAAAUGGUUGGCAGUAGUGUUAACAGUCUGAAAUGUUCCUAAUAUUAGGUUAAAGGAAAAUUCUUUAUAUUUUCAACCUGGGUGUCAUUCUUGUUUUUUAUCAACUGUGUGACAUGACACCAUUUUACUCACUACCAUUGAGAAGAUCUGGAAAAUGUCAUGGAAAGCAGCUCGCUACAACAGACACAUGCAUGAUAGGGGCCUACUGUGUGUGUUCACUCUUGAUUUGAUUCACAGACAAAUGUUUGACAUGCAGUCAUACCCCCGUUUGAUGUCAUUGCCAUGUUUCUCAAAUCUCUCCAACAGAGCCACAGUUGAGUGAUUUGAUCAUAUCUGUGGGUUCAUGUCAUUACAGGAUUUUUGAAUUUUGAUGAUGAUACGAUUUGUGAUGAUGGCUUGAUUA